GACGAACGCUGGCGGCGUGCUUAACACAUGCAAGUCGAACGGAAAGGCCCUGCUUUUGUGCGGUGCUCGAGUGGCGGACGGGUGAGUAACACGUGAGUAUCCUGCCCUUGACUUUGGGAUAACUUCAGGCAACUGGGGCUAAUACCGGAUAGCAGCUCCUGCUGCAUGGUGGGGGUUGGAAAGUUUCGGCGGUUGGGGAUGGACUCGCGGCUUAUCAGCUUGUUGGUGGGGUAGUGGCUUACCAAGGCUUUGGCGGGUAGCCGGCCUGAGAGGGGGACCGGGGACAUUGGGACUGAGAGACGGCCCAGAUGCCUACGGGAGGCAGAAGUGGGGAAUAUUGCACAAUGGGCGGACGCCGGAUGCAGAAACGCUGCGUGUGGGAUGACGGCUUUUGGGUUGUAAACCGCUUUCGCAUGUGACGAAGCGGGAGUGACGGUAACGGGUAAAGAAGCACCGGCUAACUACGUG
This 468-nucleotide ribosomal RNA is filed under the name uncultured bacterium. RNAcentral's name for it is "partial 16S ribosomal RNA". It matches the Rfam family "Bacterial small subunit ribosomal RNA", at positions 28 to 507 of the family's 1533-position model. The record is from RNAcentral.